UACCUAACAGCUAGCCCACCCCCACAAUUCAACGAACCCCUGUUAAUAACCCCUAAUACCCCAGUAUUUAUUUUAAACAAACCAUUUUCCCCCCUUAGUAUAGGCGAUAGAAAAGGGCCUACGGCGCAACAGAAAAAGUACCGCAAGGGAACGCUGAAAGAGAAGUGAAAUAACUCAAUAAAGCCUAAAAAAGCAGAGAUUCAAGCUCGUACCUUUUGCAUCAUGAUUAAGCAAGUGUAACCCAAGCAAAGCGUACUUUAGUUUGACAUCCCGAAACUAGGUGAGCUACUCCAAGACAGCCUAUCAAUAGGGCACACCCUUCUCUGUGGCAAAAGAGUGGGGGGAGCUUUGAGUAGAGGCGAUAAACCUACCGAACCUAGUUAUAGCUGGUUGUCCAAGAAAUGAAUAGAAGUUCAGCCUUUCGGCUUCUUUUUUCACCUUAGUCUAACCCCUGUAGAUGCACUAAAGAAACCGAAAGAGUUAGUCAAAGGGGGUACAGCCCCUUUGAAUCAAGACACAACUUUGCCAGGAGGGUAAAGAUCAUAAUAACUAAAGCUAAAUGUUUAGGUGGGCCUAAAAGCAGCCAUCCCCUUAGAAAGCGUUAAAGCUCAUACAUGUAGUAUUCUUCUUAUCCUGAUCAUCAAAUCUUACCCCCCUGCCCGUACUGGACCAUCCCAUGCCUACAUGGAAGUGACUAUGCUGAAAUGAGUAAUAAGAGGGCUAUCGGCUCUCUCCCUGCACACAUGUAAAUCAGAACGGACAACCCACCGAACCUUAACGGCCCCAAAUAAAGAGGGCAGUGGAUUAUAGACCAAAAAACUAGAAAAGUGUCCAAAAACAAACCGUUAAACCCACACAGGUGUGCCCCUGGGGAAAGACUAGAAGAA
Molecule: ribosomal RNA, 887 nt
Filed under: Pleurogrammus azonus (Okhostk atka mackerel)
Lineage: Eukaryota; Metazoa; Chordata; Actinopteri; Perciformes; Hexagrammidae
Description: partial 16S rRNA
Rfam family: Bacterial large subunit ribosomal RNA (bases 189-887)
Source: RNAcentral